Molecule: long non-coding RNA, 1049 nt
Filed under: Homo sapiens (human)
Lineage: Eukaryota; Metazoa; Chordata; Mammalia; Primates; Hominidae
Description: HSALNT0371457
Source: RNAcentral
GAAUGCUUGGGAAGAACUUUGUUACCCAAUGAAGCCUCCUGGUUCUCUAGUCCCUGGUAGCCUGUCCUGGUUGCCAGGUGCUUGUUUGCAUUCCAAGCUCCACAUUCCCCAGGGUCCAGUGUAGUCUUGUGUCUAAGCUGGUGUCUGGCCACCAAAGGCAGGCGUGCAGGGCCUUGGCUACUGCGCUAGGUCUGCUGAUGGCCACAAGCCUUUAGUCCCAGCUCUGCCUUAGCAAUGGGGGUGUCUGAAGGCUCAGGGGAUACACAGGUCCUCUAGGUUCCUGGGGAGAUGAUGACGGAGUCUUGCUGUGUUGCCAGGCUGGAGUGCAGUGGCGCGAUCUCGGCUCACUGCAACCUCUGCCUCCCACGUUCAAGCGAUUUUCCUGCCUCAGCCUCCCGAGCAGCUGGGAUUACAGGCACGCACCGCAAUGCCCAGAGUGAGAGUUUCGACCAGGAGUGGAUACUGAGGAGAGCAAAGAUCACCUGGUGCUCAUCAAGCCGGACUUCCAGAGGCAAAGCUCCUUAACUGAAGAAUUCAGAAAUGAUCCAGUGCAGGACCCUGAGAAGCCCACAGGAGAAGAAGAAUCCCUAAAGUGAGAGAAACCUGGGCCCUUGAGUGACUGCAUGGAGAAGAGCCCCAUCAUUGACUCAUGUUAGACUGUGACUGAAAAAUAAACCUCUUUUGUGUUAAGCCACUGAGUUCUGUGGUUAUGUGUUGCACCAAUUUUCCUAUUUUGGCUAACAUAAUUAUUCUACCUAUUUUUCAGAAGGGAAAAAUGAGGAUUGCAGAGAUGAUGGUUGAUCAGGAGUCUGGUUCAAUGUAAUGCUCUAAGCUGAUUCUCUGAGCUCUGUCCUCCUUAUGUCAUAUUGAUCCUCAUGUCUGCUGCAAUUCCAGUCCUCCUUCCAACAAACUCUUUUGAAAUUCCCUCUCCCGGCACAGGAAAGUUUUGAUUUCACUGACGGACUUAGUUUAGGUUAUUUGCACCCUUGAAUUUGUCUCUGUGGUUAGGGAGAUGCUAUGCCCUGAUUGUCUUGGGUUAUCACCUUAAC